UCGGUCCCUAUCCACCGCAGGCGGAGGAGACUUGAGGGGAGCUGGCCCUA
Molecule: ribosomal RNA, 50 nt
Filed under: Escherichia coli
Lineage: Bacteria; Pseudomonadati; Pseudomonadota; Gammaproteobacteria; Enterobacterales; Enterobacteriaceae
Description: partial 23S ribosomal RNA
Source: RNAcentral